GAUGAACGCUAGCGGCAGGCUUAACACAUGCAAGUCGAGGGGUAAGUAUCUUCGGAUAGCGAGACCGGCGCACGGGUGCGUAACGCGUAGGCAAUCUACCUUUCACAGAGGGAUAGCCCAGAGAAAUUUGGAUUAAUACCUCAUAGUAUAUAGACGCGGCAUCGAGGUUAUAUUAAAGUCACAACGGGAAAAGAUGAGCAUGCGUCCCUUUAGCUCGUUGGUAAGGUAACGGCUUCCCAAGGCUACGAUGGGAAGGGGUCCGGAGAGGGAGAUCCCCCAGACUGGUACUGAGCCACCGACCAGACUCCUACGGGAGGGAGCAGUGCGGGAUAUUGGAGAGGGGGCGCUAGCCUGAUCCAGCCAAGCCGGGUGCAGGAUGACCGUCCUAUGGAUUGUAACCUGCUUUUAUACGAGAAGUAUCACUGCUACGGGUAGCAGCUUGACGGUACCGUAAGAAUAAGGAUCGGCUAACUCCGUG
Molecule: ribosomal RNA, 478 nt
Filed under: uncultured bacterium
Lineage: Bacteria
Description: partial 16S ribosomal RNA
Rfam family: Bacterial small subunit ribosomal RNA
Source: RNAcentral